This 443-nucleotide ribosomal RNA is filed under the name uncultured bacterium. Its description in RNAcentral is "partial 16S ribosomal RNA". It matches the Rfam family "Bacterial small subunit ribosomal RNA", at positions 338 to 795 of the family's 1533-position model. The record is from RNAcentral.
UCUACGGGAGGCUGCAGUGGGGAAUAUUGGGCAAUGGCGGCAACUCUGACCCAGCAAUGCCGCGUGAAUGAAGACGGUCUUCGGAUUGUUAAGUUCUUUAAUCCGGGACGCAGAAGAUGCCGGUACCUGAGGAAUACGCCACGGCAAACAAUGUGCAAGCAGCCGCGGCAAUACAUAGGUGGCAGGCGUUGUACGGAAUGACUGGGCGUAAAGGGAGCGUAGGCGGGCUGUUAAGUUGGAAGGGAAAUCCCGGCGCGCAACCCCGGAACUGCUUUCAAGACUGACGGACUUGAGUGUAAGAGGGGUAAGCGGAAUGCGUGGUGUAGCGGUGGAAUGCGUAGAUAUUAGGAGGAACACCAGUGGCGAAGGCGGCUUACUGGAUUAUAACUGACGCUGAGGCUCGAAAGCGUGGGUAGCGAACAGGAUUAGAUACCCCUGUAGUC